Molecule: ribosomal RNA, 119 nt
Filed under: Salmo salar (Atlantic salmon)
Lineage: Eukaryota; Metazoa; Chordata; Actinopteri; Salmoniformes; Salmonidae
Source: RNAcentral
GCCUACGGCCAUAUCAGCCUGGGUACGCCCGAUCUCGUCUGAUCUCGGAAGCUAAGCAGGGUCGGGCCUGGUUAGUACUUGGAUGGGAGACCGCCUGGGAAUACCAGGUGCUGUAAGCA